Molecule: unclassified non-coding RNA, 520 nt
Filed under: uncultured Glomus
Lineage: Eukaryota; Fungi; Glomeromycota; Glomeromycetes; Glomerales; Glomeraceae
Description: SSU rRNA
Rfam family: Eukaryotic small subunit ribosomal RNA
Source: RNAcentral
AGCAGCCGCGGUAAUUCCAGCUCCAAUAGCGUAUAUUAAAGUUGUUGCAGUUAAAAAGCUCGUAGUUGAAUUUCGGGAUUGGCGCAUCGGUCGUGCCUCACGGGGUAUGAACUGGUGCAGUCAAUUUCUCACCUUCUGGAGAACCGCGAUGUCCUUAAUUGGAUGCCGCGGGGAACCAGGACCUUUACUUUGAAAAAAUUAGAGUGUUUAAAGCAGGCAUUUUUGCUUGAAUACAUUAGCAUGGAAUAAUAAAAUAGGACGGCAUGGUUCUAUUUUGUUGGUUUCUAGGACCACCGUAAUGAUUAAUAGGGAUAGUUGGGGGCAUUAGUAUUCAAUUGUCAGAGGUGAAAUUCUUGGAUUUAUUGAAGACUAACUACUGCGAAAGCAUUUGCCAAGGAUGUUUUCAUUAAUCAAGAACGAAAGUUAGGGGAUCGAAGACGAUCAGAUACCGUCGUAGUCUUAACCAUAAACUAUGCCGACUAGGGAUCGGAUGAUGUUAAUUUUUUUAAUGACUCAUUCG